Hermetia illucens (black soldier fly) is the source of this 526-nucleotide long non-coding RNA. RefSeq lists it as uncharacterized. The transcript is spliced from 3 exons. The record is from RefSeq and is a predicted model, not a curated record. Lineage: Eukaryota; Metazoa; Arthropoda; Insecta; Diptera; Stratiomyidae.
CUCUGUUGAUAGCCAUCGAAUAAAUUGUGUCAGUGUGGCAACUUAUUGUCUUAAGAAUUUCAUGCGGUUUAGUAAUAUCCCAAAUAAUUAUCUGCGGUUAUAAAUUAAGUGAUUAGCGAUUUCAACUAGAAGUAUGAGUAUGCACUUUACGCUUGUGUGCCAACAAUUCGACCGUAAAUUCGCUGAGGUUAGACGAUAGGCCCUCAUUUGGGAUCUCCCAAAUUUUAACCUGGAGACAUUUAGUAAGAGUUCGUUAGCAUGCGAUUUCUAGUAAAUAUCCUUGCACAUUUUAUGCAUUAUAAUACAUUUGAUGGGAAAGUUACUCACUGUACAAUCAUCUGAUGCAGAAGCGAUAACAUUGUCAUUGAAUGGAUUCCAUUUUAGUUUCAAGAAUUGGGACUCGUGAAAUCUUACUUGAUUAAUUGGUAUCACAGCAAACGUUGCAUCGGCCACUAUUGCCAAAAAUUUCGGAUUAACGGCACAAAUAUUCCCAUCAUUUCCGUUUCGUACGACACUUAUAUCAGUA